Molecule: ribosomal RNA, 406 nt
Filed under: uncultured bacterium
Lineage: Bacteria
Description: partial 16S ribosomal RNA
Rfam family: Bacterial small subunit ribosomal RNA
Source: RNAcentral
AUUGAACGCUGGCGGCAGGCCUAACCCAUGCAAGUCGAACGAGUGGCGGACGGGUGAGUAAUGUCUGGGAAACUGCCUGAUGGAGGGGGAUAACUACUGGAAACGGUAGCUAAUACCGCAUACCAUCAGAUGUGCCCAGAUGGGAUUAGCUGGUUGGUGGGGUAACGGCUCACCACGGCGACGAUCCCUAGCUGGUCUGAGAGGAGGACCAGCCACACUGGAACUGAGACACGGUCCAGACUCCUACGGGAGGCAGCAGUGGGGAAUAUUGCACAAUGGGCGCAAGCCUGAUGCAGCCAUGCUGCGUGUAUGAAGAAGGCCUGCGGGUUGUAAAGUACUUUCAGCGGGGAGGCGUUACCCGCAGAAGAAGCACCGGCUAACUCCGUGCCAGCCGCCGCGGUAAUAC